AACGAACGCUGGCGGCAGGCCUAACACAUGCAAGUCGAGCGAGAACUUCGGUUCUAGCGGCGGACGGGUGAGUAACGCGUGGGAACGUGCCCUUUGCUACGGAAUAGCCCAGGGAGACUUGGAUUAAUACCGUAUACGCCCUUCGGGGGAAAGAUUUAUCGGCAAAGGAUCGGCCCGCGUUAGAUUAGGUAGUUGGUGGGGUAAUGGCCUACCAAGCCUACGAUCUAUAGCUGGUUUGAGAGGAUGAUCAGCCACACUGGGACUGAGACACGGCCCAGACUCCUACGGGAGGCAGCAGUGGGGAAUCUUAGACAAUGGGGGAAACCCUGAUCUAGCCAUGCCGCGUGAUCGAUGAAGGCCUUAGGGUUGUAAAGAUCUUUCAGUGGGGAAGAUAAUGACGGUACCCACAGAAGAAGCCCCGGCUAACUCCGUGCCAGCAGCCGCGGUAAUACGGAGGGGGCUAGCGUUGUUCGGAAUUACUGGGCGUAAAGCGCGCGUAGGCGGGCUGGAAAGUUGGGGGUGAAAUCCCGGGGCUCAACCCCGGAACUGCCUCCAAAACUUCCAGUCUUGAGUUCGAGAGAGGUGAGUGGAACUCCGAGUGUAGAGGUGAAAUUCGUAGAUAUUCGGAAGAACACCAGUGGCGAAGGCGGCUCACUGGCUCGAUACUGACGCUGAGGUGCGAAAGUGUGGGGAGCAAACAGG
This 702-nucleotide ribosomal RNA is filed under the name uncultured bacterium. RNAcentral's name for it is "bacterial SSU rRNA". It matches the Rfam family "Bacterial small subunit ribosomal RNA", at positions 28 to 776 of the family's 1533-position model. The record is from RNAcentral.